UUCGAUCCUAGCUCAGUUGAACGCUGGCGGGAUGCUUUACACAUGCAAAGUCGAACGGCAGCACGGACUUCGGUCUGGUGGCGAGUGGCGAACGGGUGAGUAAUGUAUCGGAACGUGCCUAGUAGCGGGGGGAUAACUACGCGAAAGCGUAGCUAAUACCGCAUACGCCCUUCGGGGAAAGCAGGGGGACCUUCGGGCCUCGCACUGGCUGACGGCCGAUAUCGGAUUGGCUAGUUGGUGGGGUAACGGCUCGCAGGCGACGAUCCGUAGCUGGUUUGAGAGGACGACCAGCCACACUGGGACUGAGACACGGCCGAACUCCUACGGGAGAACGUAGUGGGGAAUACGGACAAUGGAAACCUGAUCCAGCCAUCCCGCGUGUGCGAUGAAGGCCUUCGGGUUGUAAAGCACUUUUGGCAGGAAAGAAACGGCACCUGGGAUAUUACCCCGUGCAACUGACGGUACCUGCAGAGCAGCACCGGCUAACUACGUUGCCAGCAGCCGCGGUAAUACGUAAGGGUGCAGCGCAUUAAUCGGAAUUACUGGGCGUAAAGCGUGCGCGAGCGGUUCGGAAAGAAAGAUGUGAAAAUCUAGAGAGCUUAACUUUGAACUGCAUUUUAUACCGAGCUAGAAGUGUAUGGGGGAGGUGGAAUUCCGCGUGUAGCAGUGAAAUGCGUAGAUAUGCGGAGGAACACCGAUAGCGAAGGCAGCCUCCUGGGAUGCUUUUACUGACGCUCAUGCACGAAAGCGUGAGGCAAACAGGAUUAGAUACCCUGGUGGUCACGCCCUAAACGAUGUCAACUGGCUAUUUGGGGCCUUCGGGCCUUGGUAGCGCAGCUAACGUGAAGUUGACCGCCUGGGGAUUACGGUCGCAGAUUAAACUCAAGGAAUUGGGCAAGGGACCCGCACAAGCGGUGGAUGAUGGAUUAAUUUGAUGCAACGCGAAAAACCUUACCUACCCUUGACAUGUCUGGAAUCCGAAAGAGAUUUGGGAGUGCUCGCAAGAGAACCGGAACACAGGUGCCGCAUGGCUGUCGUCAGCUCGUGUCGUGGGGAUGUUCGGGUUAAGUCCCGCAACGAGCGCAACUGCCAAUCAUUAGUUGCUACGAAAGGGCACUCUAAUGAGACUGCCGGUGACAAACCGGAGGAAGGUGGGGAUGACGUCAGUCCUCAUGGCUGCCUUUAUACAGGUGAGACUUCACACGUCAUACAAUGGUCAGGACAGAGGGUCGCCAACCCACGAGGAGACAAUCCCAGAAACCCGAUCGUAGUCCGGAUCACCAGUCUGCAACUCGACUGCGUGAAGUCGGAAUCGCUAGUAAUCGCGGAUCAGCAUGUCGCGGUGAAUACGUUCCCCGGGUCUUGUACACACCGCCCGUCACACCAUGGGAGUGGGUUUACCAGAAGUAGUUAGCCUAACCGUAGGGAGGGCGAUUACCACGGUAGGAUUCAUGACUGGGGUGAAGUCGUAACAAGGUAA
RNAcentral lists this ribosomal RNA (1480 nucleotides) under uncultured Bordetella sp. Its description in RNAcentral is "partial 16S-23S ribosomal RNA intergenic spacer". It matches the Rfam family "Bacterial small subunit ribosomal RNA". Lineage: Bacteria; Pseudomonadati; Pseudomonadota; Betaproteobacteria; Burkholderiales; Alcaligenaceae. The record is from RNAcentral.